Molecule: long non-coding RNA, 592 nt
Filed under: Dasypus novemcinctus (nine-banded armadillo)
Lineage: Eukaryota; Metazoa; Chordata; Mammalia; Cingulata; Dasypodidae
Description: lncRNA (ENSDNOG00000051672.1)
Source: RNAcentral
AUGAAGCAAGCCAUCGCUGUCGUGGGACUCGCAAGGAAGGAAGACCCAUGGAAACAGGUGAAGAAGAGGGAAGCGGAUUUGGCUCAAGGAUGGGGCGUCCACCUACCACAUGGGAGGUCCAGGGUUCAAACCCCGGGCCUCCUUGACCCGUGUGGAGCUGGCCCAUGCACAGUGCUGAUGUGCGCAAGGAGUGCCCUGCCACGCAGGGGUGUCCCCCGCGUAGGGGAGCCCCACACGCAAGGAGUGCGCCCCGUAAGGAGAGCCACCCAGCGCGAAAGAAAGUGCAGCCUGCCCGGGAAUGGUGCCGCACACACGGAGAGCUGAUGCAGCAAGAUGACACAACGAAAAGAAACAGAUUCCCAUGCCGCUGAUAAGGAUAGAAGCAGUCACAGAAGAACACAUAGCAAUGGACACAGAGAGCAGACAACUGGGGGGGGAGAAUAAAAAAAAAGUAAAUCUUAAAAAAAAAAGUGUAGAAGAAGGAAAAUAAGGAAGGAAGAGAGAAAUUAAAAGGUGGCUGUACCCAGGGCUAUUUUUGCGACCUCUUGGGCGUCCAUAAUCAUUUCAGAUAAGAAGCUGCGAGGCUCCGCAG